This is a non-coding RNA of Anas platyrhynchos (mallard), 912 nucleotides long. The record is from RefSeq and is a predicted model, not a curated record. NCBI's taxonomy places the organism in Eukaryota, Metazoa, Chordata, Aves, Anseriformes, Anatidae.
UACAGAUCAUCCUGCUGAGCUUGACUCAACCUGCUAACUCUUGAGCAAAAUGAGCAGACUCAAGCCCCUUUGUUCAGAGGAGAGAGCAGAGCGCUGAGGCAAAAUUCAGACCCUCUGGGAACAGGAUAAGGACCUGCUUAAGUUCUGUGGUGCUUUCACUAAGGCUCCUCACAAGCAGGCUGCGGUGGCGUCUGUGACCUUGGCAGGAUUGCAGAGGUGGUUUGGAGGCCCUCAUCGAGCCUGGCCGAGGAUGGAGCCAUACACACAGCUCCACUGCUGUUGCUGCCUGCCAGGGGGAUGAGCAGGAGGCUGGACAGCCCCUCAGGACAGCAGGAGUGUCCAUCAUGGCCUCAUCCGGCCUUGCUGCGGGUGGGCUGCAGAGCACAGAAGGUUCCAGCUAUCCGCUCCCUAACCUCCUGACAUGCACAUGGAGAGGCAGGAUGUAGCCCGUGGAAGGAACCGGCUGUGUUUUCACUGCACAAGGACAUCACACUCUGGCCUGCGUUUCUCAGCAGUCAAGUAUGUGCCUGGUGGGCUGGCUCCAAAGCUGUCUCUAGCAGCAGGGCUGGUCUGCUCCCUGCAGCCGCCGUGCUCAGCUCCUCCCCAAGCCCAGCCCUCCUCUCACGGCGUGCCAUGGAGCGCACAGACAGCCAUGCAGGACCUCACGGUUGAGCCUUCAUCCCAAAAACUCUCCUACCACCCACUCAGAGCAAACUCAUUUUGUUUGCCUAACGAGAACAAAGGGCUGAGCCAGGUAACCUUGCCAAGCGUACAGCCAGGAUUGGAGAUGUUCACAUCCCAUCUAUAACACCUGAACCCACCCAUUCAGCUAAUCCCUACACAGCUAUCAUAAAUCAUCCUGUGUCACAGGCAUCAAAGGGGCACUGCUUCACCUUUACCAACUUACAAAAU